AACACAUGCAAGUCGAGCGGUAGCACAGAGAGCUUGCUCUCGGGUGACGAGCGGCGGACGGGUGAGUAAUGUCUGGGAAACUGCCUGAUGGAGGGGGAUAACUACUGGAAACGGUAGCUAAUACCGCAUAAUGUCGCAAGACCAAAGUGGGGGACCUUCGGGCCUCAUGCCAUCAGAUGUGCCCAGAUGGGAUUAGCUAGUAGGUGGGGUAACGGCUCACCUAGGCGACGAUCCCUAGCUGGUCUGAGAGGAUGACCAGCCACACUGGAACUGAGACACGGUCCAGACUCCUACGGGAGGCAGCAGUGGGGAAUAUUGCACAAUGGGCGCAAGCCUGAUGCAGCCAUGCCGCGUGUGUGAAGAAGGCCUUCGGGUUGUAAAGCACUUUCAGCGGGGAGGAAGGCGAUAAGGUUAAUAACCUUGUCGAUUGACGUUACCCGCAGAAGAAGCACCGGCUAACUCCGUGCCAGCAGCCGCGGUAAUACGGAGGGUGCAAGCGUUAAUCGGAAUUACUGGGCGUAAAGCGCACGCAGGCGGUCUGUCAAGUCGGAUGUGAAAUCCCCGGGCUCAACCUGGGAACUGCAUUCGAAACUGGCAGGCUAGAGUCUUGUAGAGGGGGGUAGAAUUCCAGGUGUAGCGGUGAAAUGCGUAGAGAUCUGGAGGAAUACCGGUGGCGAAGGCGGCCCCCUGGACAAAGACUGACGCUCAGGUGCGAAAGCGUGGGGAGCAAACAGGAUUAGAUACCCUGGUAGUCCACGCCGUAAACGAUGUCGAUUUGGAGGUUGUGCCCUUGAGGCGUGGCUUCCGGAGCUAACGCGUUAAAUCGACCGCCUGGGGAGUACGGCCGCAAGGUUAAAACUCAAAUGAAUUGACGGGGGCCCGCACAAGCGGUGGAGCAUGUGGUUUAAUUCGAUGCAACGCGAAGAACCUUACCUGGUCUUGACAUCCACAGAACUUAGCAGAGAUGCUUUGGUGCCUUCGGGAACUGUGAGACAGGUGCUGCAUGGCUGUCGUCAGCUCGUGUUGUGAAAUGUUGGGUUAAGUCCCGCAACGAGCGCAACCCUUAUCCUUUGUUGCCAGCGGUUCGGCCGGGAACUCAAAGGAGACUGCCAGUGAUAAACUGGAGGAAGGUGGGGAUGACGUCAAGUCAUCAUGGCCCUUACGACCAGGGCUACACACGUGCUACAAUGGCAUAUACAAAGAGAAGCGACCUCGCGAGAGCAAGCGGACCUCAUAAAGUAUGUCGUAGUCCGGAUUGGAGUCUGCAACUCGACUCCAUGAAGUCGGAAUCGCUAGUAAUCGUAGAUCAGAAUGCUACGGUGAAUACGUUCCCGGGCCUUGUACACACCGCCCGUCACACCAUGGGAGUGGGUUGCAAAAGAAGUAGGUAGCUUAACCUUCGGGAGGGCGCUACCA
RNAcentral lists this ribosomal RNA (1416 nucleotides) under Klebsiella sp. RNAcentral's name for it is "bacterial SSU rRNA". It matches the Rfam family "Bacterial small subunit ribosomal RNA". The record is from RNAcentral. Lineage: Bacteria; Pseudomonadati; Pseudomonadota; Gammaproteobacteria; Enterobacterales; Enterobacteriaceae.